RNAcentral lists this ribosomal RNA (468 nucleotides) under uncultured bacterium. RNAcentral's name for it is "partial 16S ribosomal RNA". It matches the Rfam family "Bacterial small subunit ribosomal RNA", at positions 28 to 507 of the family's 1533-position model. The record is from RNAcentral.
GACGAACGCUGGCGGCGUGCUUAACACAUGCAAGUCGAACGGAAAGGCCCUGCUUUUGUGGGGUGCUCGAGUGGCGAACGGGUGAGUAACACGUGAGUAACCUGCCCUUGACUUUGGGAUAACUUCAGGAAACUGGUGCUAAUACCGGAUAGGAGCUCCUGCUGCAUGGUGGGGGUUGGAAAGUUUCGGCGGUUGGGGCUGGACUCGCGGCUUAUCAGCUUGUUGGUGGGGUAGUGGCUUACCAAGGCUUUGACGGGUAGCCGGCCUGAGAGGGUGACCGGCCACAUUGGGACUGAGAUACGGCCCAGACUCCUACGGGAGGCAGCAGUGGGGAAUAUUGCACAAUGGGCGGAAGCCUGAUGCAGCAACGCCGCGUGCGGGAUGACGGCCUUCGGGUUGUAAACCGCUUUCGCCUGUGACGAAGCGUGAGUGACGGUAAUGGGUAAAGAAGCACCGGCUAACUACGUG